Molecule: long non-coding RNA, 465 nt
Organism: Clarias gariepinus (North African catfish)
Lineage: Eukaryota; Metazoa; Chordata; Actinopteri; Siluriformes; Clariidae
Exons: 3
Source: RefSeq, a predicted model, not a curated record
GAAUAAGACAUGUAAAGACGUCAAACUCUGGCAAAUUCUCUUCAUCAUACUCGCGAUAAUCACCUGUCUUGUCGUUCUCGUUGUCAUCACAGGCUUUACAGUUGACCGCUGCAGAAGAAAUCCAAAAACUCGAACACCUUGUCCACCUCCAGACCCCGGUUUACAGCUGCAUCAGAACAACACCAGCGUUGUGUAUGCUGACGUGCAGUUCAUCAGAACAAAUGGCCGCAUCAGGACGACUGGCCUUAACAGCACAUACUCUCUUCUACAGCCCAUGAUCCAGAGUGACCCCAUGCAGAGGCGUGACGUCAGACCAUGAUGCUUAAUAUGAUGUCAUUAGACUGAAGUGAGCCGUGUUCCAAAUGAUGAAAAAUGUCUAAUCAGUGUUCUACAAUUUUCACUGCUUUUUCUUUUAUCAAGACUUUUUAUCUUGCUGGCCGAGCAGUUCCCACAAUGCACUGCAAG